UGCAGUCGAACGAUGACGAAGAGCUUGCUCUUUUGAUUAGUGGCGCACGGGUGAGUAUACCAUAGAUAAUGUACCCCUUAGUUCGGGAUAGCCACUGGAAACGGUGAUUAAUACCGGAUACUCCUUCUCAUUAUAAGAUGAGUCGGGAAAGUUUUUUCGCUAAGGGAUUAGUCUAUGUCCUAUCAGCUAGUUGGUGAGGUAAUGGCUCACCAAGGCUAUGACGGGUAUCUGGUUUGAGAGGAUGAUCAGACACACUGGAACUGAGACACGGUCCAGACUCCUACGGGAGGCAGCAGUGAGGAAUAUUGCACAAUGGAGGAAACUCUGAUGCAGCAACGCCGCGUGGAGGAUGACGCAUUUCGGUGUGUAAACUCCUUUUAUUAGGGAAGAUAAUGACGGUACCUAAUGAAUAAGCACCGGCUAACUCCGUGCCAGCAGCCGCGGUAAUACGGAGGGUGCAAGCGUUACUCGGAAUCACUGGGCGUAAAGGGUGCGUAGGCUGGCUUCUAAGUCAGAUGUGAAAUCCAAUGGCUCAACCAUUGAACUGCAUUUGAAACUGGGAGCCUAGAGUUCAGAAGGGGCAGAUGGAAUUAGUGGUGUAGGGGUAAAAUCCGUAGAUAUCACUAGGAAUAUCAAAAGCGAAGGCGAUCUGCUGGGAUGAUACUGACGCUGAGGCACGAAAGCGUGGGGAGCAAACAGGAUUAGAUACCCUGGUAGUCCACGCCCUAAACGAUGAAUGCUAGUCGUCGGGAAGCUCGUCUUUUCGGUGACGCACUUAACAGAUUAAGCAUUCCGCCUGGGGAGUACGGUCGCAAGAUUAAAACUCAAAGGAAUAGACGGGGACCCGCACAAGUGGUGGAGCAUGUGGUUUAAUUCGAAGAUACACGAAGAACCUUACCUGGCCUUGACAUCCCNAGAACUUUCCAGAGAUGGAUUGGUGCUAGCUUGCUAGAACU
Molecule: ribosomal RNA, 956 nt
Filed under: uncultured bacterium
Lineage: Bacteria
Description: bacterial SSU rRNA
Rfam family: Bacterial small subunit ribosomal RNA
Source: RNAcentral